UACAGAGGGGGCAAGCGUUGUUCGGAAUUACUGGGCGUAAAGGGCGCGUAGGCGGCCUUCUAAGUCGAACGUGAAAUCCCCGGGCUCAACCUGGGAACUGCAUCCGAUACUGGAUGGCUUGAAUCCGGGAGAGGGAUGCAGAAUUCCAGGUGUAGCGGUGAAAUGCGUAGAUAUCUGGAGGAAUACCGGUGGCGAAGGCGGCAUCCUGGACCGGCAUUGACGCUGAUGAGCGAAAGCUAGGGGAGCAAACGGG
Molecule: ribosomal RNA, 253 nt
Filed under: uncultured bacterium
Lineage: Bacteria
Description: partial 16S ribosomal RNA
Rfam family: Bacterial small subunit ribosomal RNA
Source: RNAcentral